UGCAUGCUUCCUUCGUAGAGUAAGAGUAAUGAUCAGAUAUUGUACGAGACGCUUUCUGUCAGCAGGUAGGAAGCGGGAGACAACCGGAGACUUCCUCAGCAUCGGCAGAUGACUUUGGCGUGGUGACAGAAGAAUGGUCUUUACUGCCACUGCGGCCUCUUGUUAUCCCACACAAUACCUAAGAAAGUUGUAUGGGUGUGAAUGGUUAGAAAUGACGACCGACUGACAGUGAACAAAGACACUCACCUGCCUGUUCAUCUGGAGGUGGUCCAGAGGAUCCAGUCCCUAGGCAGAAUUUAAGACUGUCCCUGCUCUGGAUUAGACCGAGAAGCCACAUCACUGAGAAGACAGCUGAAGAAGAAGAUUUCCGUCUUCUGGGUUGUUGCGCUGUGUAGUCUGGUCGAUGUUAACCAACGUUUCAGAGUUGAGGGGUGGAUAUGGGAGACGACCACCAUGUAAUAGAGGGUCACGAGGCCGCGCUCUCAGUUGUCCGUGUCACCGCUCCCACACGUCAGUGAGCAUUCCUGUCGCCGCCCACAAUAGAAAGGUCGAUCAGUCGGUGUGAGGGCACGUGGUAUGAGUGAUAAUCUGAGGAACAAUGACUUUCAUACUUGAGUGACUUACUGGAGACUGUUCAUGUACUGUGGUCCAUUACGGCUACAGACCUCUAACCGUCUUUUGUGUGAAGGUCAAAUUAUUCAACUGCUUUGUCAAUUAAAACUUGUCAGGAAUUAAUUAUUAUAGUGUCUUUGACACUGAAUAAAAAUCUUGUAAAUUUUUAUCGUCUUCUUUUCGGAACUUCUAUAAAUGUUUUGGUUUCAAGUUUGUUGCGGAAAUUUUUUCAAUUUUUGCAGGCUCGUUUAACGUUAUAUCGAUAUUAGAUAGCUGUAAAAAAGUAUUGUUCUCAGCGUCUACGUUUAGACGACAUUGUUGCGUUGUGCAAGAACUCUAAAUGCGAAUGUUAUCUGUUUCAAAUAUGUCUUCAGCAAUUUAAAUCCUUCAAGUUAUUUCCAUCCUUACCUUUACUACCACGAAAUUGUAAAAAUGAUAUGA
Zootermopsis nevadensis is the source of this 1053-nucleotide non-coding RNA. Lineage: Eukaryota; Metazoa; Arthropoda; Insecta; Blattodea; Termopsidae. The record is from RefSeq and is a predicted model, not a curated record.